GAUGAACGCUAGCUACAGGCUUAACACAUGCAAGUCGAGGGGAAACGGCAUUGAGUGCUUGCACUCUUUGGACGUCGACCGGCGCACGGGUGAGUAACGCGUAUCCAACCUUCCCAUUACUGUGGGAUAACCUGCCGAAAGGCAGACUAAUACCGCAUAGUCUUCGAUGACGGCAUCAGAUUUGAAGUAAAGAUUUAUCGGUAAUGGAUGGGGAUGCGUCUGAUUAGCUUGUUGGCGGGGUAACGGCCCACCAAGGCGACGAUCAGUAGGGGUUCUGAGAGGAAGGUCCCCCACAUUGGAACUGAGACACGGUCCAAACUCCUACGGGAGGCAGCAGUGAGGAAUAUUGGUCAAUGGACGGAAGUCUGAACCAGCCAAGUAGCGUGCAGGAUGACGGCCCUAUGGGUUGUAAACUGCUUUUGUAUGGGGA
RNAcentral lists this ribosomal RNA (430 nucleotides) under Prevotella melaninogenica. Its description in RNAcentral is "bacterial SSU rRNA". It matches the Rfam family "Bacterial small subunit ribosomal RNA", at positions 28 to 446 of the family's 1533-position model. The record is from RNAcentral. Lineage: Bacteria; Pseudomonadati; Bacteroidota; Bacteroidia; Bacteroidales; Prevotellaceae.